GGUGACAGCCCCGUACACAAAAAUGCACAUGCUGUGAGCUCGAUGAGUAGGGCGGGACACGUGGUAUCCUGUCUGAAUAUGGGGGGACCAUCCUCCAAGGCUAAAUACUCCUGACUGACCGAUAGUGAACCAGUACCGUGAGGGAAAGGCGAAAAGAACCCCGGCGAGGGGAGUGAAAAAGAACCUGAAACCGUGUACGUACAAGCAGUGGGAGCACGCUUCGGCGUGUGACUGCGUACCUUUUGUAUAAUGGGUCAGCGACUUAUAUUCUGUAGCAAGGUUAACCGAAUAGGGGAGCCGAAGGGAAACCGAGUCUUAACUGGGCGUUAAGUUGCAGGGUAUAGACCCGAAACCCGGUGAUCUAGCCAUGGGCAGGUUGAAGGUUGGGUAACACUAACUGGAGGACCGAACCGACUAAUGUUGAAAAAUUAGCGGAUGACUUGUGGCUGGGGGUGAAAGGCCAAUCAAACCGGGAGAUAGCUGGUUCUCCCCGAAAGCUAUUUAGGUAGCGCCUCGUGAAUUCAUCUCCGGGGGUAGAGCACUGUUUCGGCAAGGGGGUCAUCCCGACUUACCAACCCGAUGCAAACUGCGAAUACCGGAGAAUGUUAUCACGGGAGACACACGGCGGGUGCUAACGUCCGUCGUGAAGAGGGAAACAACCCAGACCGCCAGCUAAGGUCCCAAAGUCAUGGUUAAGUGGGAAACGAUGUGGGAAGGCCCAGACAGCCAGGAUGUUGGCUUAGAAGCAGCCAUCAUUUAAAGAAAGCGUAAUAGCUCACUGGUCGAGUCGGCCUGCGCGGAAGAUGUAACGGGGCUAAACCAUGCAC
RNAcentral lists this ribosomal RNA (827 nucleotides) under Escherichia coli. RNAcentral's name for it is "partial 23S ribosomal RNA". It matches the Rfam family "Bacterial large subunit ribosomal RNA", at positions 363 to 1194 of the family's 2925-position model. Lineage: Bacteria; Pseudomonadati; Pseudomonadota; Gammaproteobacteria; Enterobacterales; Enterobacteriaceae. The record is from RNAcentral.